GAUGAACGCUGGCGGCGUGCUUAAUACAUGCAAGUCGAGCGAACAGACGAUAUUGCUUGUACUCUCUGACGUUAGCGGUGGAUGGGUGAGUAAUACGCUGGUAACCUACCUAUAAGACUGGGAUAACUUUGGGAAACCGGAGCUAAUACUGGAUCAUAUUUAUCUUCGCAUUAGGCAAUAUUGAAAGACGGUUCUGCUGUCACUUAUAGAUGGACCUGUGGUGUAUUAGUUAGUUGGUGAGGUAACGACUCACCAAGGCAACGAUACAUAGCCGACCUGAGAGGGUGAUCGGCCACACUGGGACUGAGACACGGCCCAGACUCCUACGGGAGGCAGCAGUAGCGAAUCUUCCGCAAUGGACGAAAGUCUGACGGAGCAAUGCCACGUGAGUGAAGAAGGUUUUCGGAUCGUAAAACUCUGUUGUAAGUGAAGAACAAGUACAUUAGUAACUGAACGUACCUUGACGGUACCUUAACAAAAAGCCACGGCUAACUACGUG
This 499-nucleotide ribosomal RNA is filed under the name uncultured bacterium. RNAcentral describes it as "partial 16S ribosomal RNA". It matches the Rfam family "Bacterial small subunit ribosomal RNA", at positions 28 to 507 of the family's 1533-position model. The record is from RNAcentral.